GAUGAACGCUGGCGGCGUGCUUAACACAUGCAAGUCGAACGAUGAAGCCCAGCUUGCUGGGUGGAUUAGUGGCGAACGGGUGAGUAACACGUGAGUAACCUGCCCUUAACUCUGGGAUAAGCCUGGGAAACUGGGUCUAAUACCGGAUAGGAGCGUCCACCGCAUGGUGGGUGUUGGAAAGAUUUAUCGGUUUUGGAUGGACUCGCGGCCUAUCAGCUUGUUGGUGAGGUAAUGGCUCACCAAGGCGACGACGGGUAGCCGGCCUGAGAGGGUGACCGGCCACACUGGGACUGAGACACGGACCAGACGCCUACGGGAGGCAGCAGGGGGGAAUAUUGCACAAUGGGCGCAAGCCUGAGGCAGCGACGCCGCGUGAGGGAUGACGGCCUUCGGGUUGUAAACCUCUUUCAGUAGGGAAGAAGCGAAAGUGACGGUACCUGAAGAAGAAGCACCGGCUAACUACGUG
RNAcentral lists this ribosomal RNA (466 nucleotides) under uncultured bacterium. RNAcentral's name for it is "partial 16S ribosomal RNA". It matches the Rfam family "Bacterial small subunit ribosomal RNA", at positions 28 to 507 of the family's 1533-position model. The record is from RNAcentral.